This 434-nucleotide ribosomal RNA is filed under the name uncultured Lachnospiraceae bacterium. RNAcentral's name for it is "bacterial SSU rRNA". It matches the Rfam family "Bacterial small subunit ribosomal RNA", at positions 341 to 792 of the family's 1533-position model. Lineage: Bacteria; Bacillati; Bacillota; Clostridia; Lachnospirales; Lachnospiraceae. The record is from RNAcentral.
ACGGAAGGCAGCAGUGGGGAAUAUUGCACAAUGGGCGAAAGCCUGAUGCAGCGACGCCGCGUGAGUGAAGAAGUAUUUCGGUAUGUAAAGCUCUAUCAGCAGGGAAGAAAAUGACGGUACCUGACUAAGAAGCCCCGGCUAACUACGUGCCAGCAGCCGCGGUAAUACGUAGGGGGCAAGCGUUAUCCGGAUUUACUGGGUGUAAAGGGAGCGUAGACGGCGAUGCAAGUCUGAAGUGAAAGCUCGGGGCUCAACUCCGGAAUUGCUUUGGAAACUGUGUUGCUAGAGUGCAGGAGAGGUAAGUGGAAUUCCUAGUGUAGCGGUGAAAUGCGUAGAUAUUAGGAGGAACACCAGUGGCGAAGGCGGCUUACUGGACUGUAACUGACGUUGAGGCUCGAAAGCGUGGGGAGCAAACAGGAUUAGAUACCCUGGUA